GGGUCAGUCGUAUAAAGGUCAUUACGGAAGGCUGUUAACUUCUUAUCGUGGUUCGAGUCCACGCUGUCCCGCCA
RNAcentral lists this transfer RNA (74 nucleotides) under Escherichia coli. Its description in RNAcentral is "tRNA-OTHER". It matches the Rfam family "tRNA". From Rfam's summary of the family: Transfer RNA (tRNA) molecules are approximately 80 nucleotides in length. Their secondary structure includes four short double-helical elements and three loops (D, anti-codon, and T loops). Lineage: Bacteria; Pseudomonadati; Pseudomonadota; Gammaproteobacteria; Enterobacterales; Enterobacteriaceae. The record is from RNAcentral.